This 4879-nucleotide long non-coding RNA is filed under the name Sus scrofa (pig). RNAcentral's name for it is "lncRNA (ENSSSCG00055012388.1)". Lineage: Eukaryota; Metazoa; Chordata; Mammalia; Artiodactyla; Suidae. The record is from RNAcentral.
AAUGAUGAUGGCAUUGAAGCCUCUGAUAAUGAAGAAAACAUAUUUUUAUGUGGGUUUUUUGGUACUUCUAGCUUUAAAUACACAACUUAACAUAUGUUUAAAACAGAGCAUAUGGAAAUCAGAAAAAAGCAAAUCGAAAUCCAGGCACAAAUAUUUCUUUAUAGUAAUCUCAAACCAGGCAGGUUAUUGAGACUCAGAACUAACAAAAAUACAAUCUCUUUGCCAUAAUUAUACUAACUUUCUGAACCUAAAAUGUCCACAGUUAUAGCUUAUUGUUCAGGCUCUACAACAUUCAUUCCCAAAUUUUAGUAGGAGUAUAUCAAGAGAAUCCUCUUCAUGUGGCUUGGGGUCACUUCUCACUGAACGACAUUAAAAACAACACCUUUAGAGAUCAGCCAGUGAAUAAAUUAAUUCGCAGCAAGCAGUACUACCAGUGUAACUACUUCCUUCCAUCUCUCCGCUGAGCUGCAUUAUUGCAGAGGCGGUGUCCACGAACAAGUCAGUGUUGGGCAAAGAAAAACAACAUUCAGCCGUCUUCUAGACAGGAAUGUUUAAAGCAUUUUUCUCUUGUUGCUUUUCACUUCUAUGGGAAAAAGAGAGGUUUCACCUAACAAAAUGAUCCUACAAAUUAUUUACCACCUGUCGCUGUGUUCUUAAACAAUCACUUCAACAUCCAAUGUUCCUUUUACCUUGGGAGAACCGCAGACCUAAAUCUGAUUCAAACUGAUAGCUUUGCAGCACUUUCAAGGUGGAAAAAGAUCUGCUGAAUUAUAACACUGAUUGAUAUGUGUUGACCAAAGCGACCACUAUUUUAAAUGGGAAUUUGAAUUCAAUUCAUUUAAGAAUUAAUAAUCUAUUAGUUUGCGGUAUAGCAGAAACUGACAGCCCAUUGUAAAUCAACUAUAAUAAAUUUUUUAAAAGAAUUAAUCAUCUAUUUAUGAUUCAUAUUUUCUUGCACAAGUUUUUGAGAGGAUUUAGUUAACCAGAAUAUUUGCUGCCAAAACAUAGCAAUCUUAAUUAUGUCUACUGAAAAAAAGGUUUAUUAAACCAUGUUAUCAAUGACAUAGGGAUACGUCUAACUUGACGUCAGGAGGUUGUAGUUCUAACCUUACCGUUUGACAAGUCGUAUGUCAACUUCCAUCAAGGGGCUGUUUUAGUUUAUGUGGGUUCAAACAGGAGGGAGACUGUUGCCAUACUGAAGCAAAUAGAGAGAUCUGAUUUGGGGCUUAGAAAUAAAAAUGAGGAUUUAUAAAAAUCUGUAAAGACUUGCAUGUGAAAAUAACUAUUUUCUUUUAAAAAUAUAUAAAUUUCAUCAAAUGUGGAGACAGCCAGACAGAACAUGUCCGUCGAUAUUUUUAAAUGAACUAACAAGUCCAGCUGUGUUUCCUACACGGAAAGCUGCUAUGAGCUUCCCAUAGCCUAUUACCUACAUUUUUUUAUCUUUGCAUUCCUAUGCCAAGCAAAAUGCCUCCGUUAGAAGCAGCUACCACCUGUUUACAAAGGGAAAAAAUGAGUGGAAAAGUAAAAGCAAAAAUCCCAACCUGUCCUUAUCCCACUUCACCCCUCUUAUCACACAAGCAAAGAGGACCUAGCAAGUGUUGACGAAGAGGUGCAGGAAGGAGGAGCCUCGCGCGUUUCUGCUGAGGGGUAUGUGAAACAGCGCACUCUGGAAGAGGGAACGGUAGUUCCUUAAAAAUUACAGAAUUAUCAUAUGAUUCAGCAAUUCCACAUCUGAGGAUACACCCCGAAGAACUGAUGGCAGAGAGUCAAACAGAUAUUUGUACACCUGUGCUGACAGCCGCACGAUUCCCAACAGUCGAAAGGUGGAAACAACCCAGACGACCACCCACACGUGAAAGAACAAAGGAAUGCGGUACAUACACCUAGGCUAUCAGUCAGGCUCGAAUCGAAGGACACUCACUCAUGCUGCCACAUGCGCGAGCUGCAAAAAUGCUGUGCUACGUGAACUAAACUGACAAAAAGGACAGUGUUGCAUGAUUCCACUUUUACGUGGUACGCAGCACAGUGAAAUUUAUAGAGACAGAAAAACAAAUAUCGGCCUGGAGUGAAAGAUCUGUCAUGGGCACACCUGUGUCUUCGGUCACUGCUGCGGUGUGAGUUUGAUGCCUGGACCAAUCCCUGGCGCAGGAACGUCCGCAUGUUGCGGAUGCGGCUCAGAAAUAAGGAAGUGUUACUGGAUGGGAAUAUAGGUAAAAUGCUCAACUCUACGAAACUUAGGUCCAGGGGGAAUUCGGCAAUUAAAUACUUUAUAAACCAAAUCUGAAAAACAUUAUGAAAAGGAUUCUACAAUUUUCAAAAGGAACUUACAUGAAAGAGACCUUACCUAUUUGAGACCGUAGACCGUGAACUCAGAUCUCCAGUGCUUGCACACAACAAGCUAACAUGUGAGGAGAGGCACGGAUUAACCACAUUAAAUCCUGACACUUCACAUACCUUCCAUCCAGGGGGGACUCUUUUCAAUAACAUGCUCGUAUUUCUCCGCUCCUAAACUGAGUUGUCUGCACAUGUUCUCAUAUCCCAGACAGAGCUUUUAAUGAUGAUUAUCGAUUACUAUACCAGGAUGUAGUCCAGCCACGUCCUUAGGGCAUUCUGGGGAAUGGGAAGCUGCUUCUUCCCACGUUAAACGCGUCCAGACGGCAGUGUUUGUCUCUCAGUUCUCUCGUUCUCUUCCUUGCAACUCUUACCUCUCACUACUGUGACGUAUCCAUUUUUUUUCAGCACCCCACCACCGCCUCAAUUCUAUGGUACAGCUCUGAGUUUGCCACGGGCAUGAAAAGCAAGUAAUCAAAUCCACUAAAACUAAGUAUCAGAUAAAUAAUAAUAGUGUAAAUGAACUAGGACUCUUGUUACCUAUUUUUACUCAUUGGAAGAUUAUUUACCUAUUUCCAUUACAGCUCUAGAGUAUGUUUUCGCUAUGAAGGUUGCUGGUCUAUAAUGUAUAUCCUUUGAAAUAAAAUAAUCUCACAAAGAUUCUGCAGAAUAAAUUCAGUACACUGAUUAUUUAUUCAACAUAGAGCCACACUUUUCCUACAUGUGACUGUAACAUUCUUAAGUCUUGAUUUCAACACAUUUACCAAAAUAGAGUCCAAUUCAAGCCGUCUACCAAAGCUAAUCAACAAAACCAAACUGACAUUAUGUAUAUUCACUAUCACAGGAGUGCACACAUAUUCAAGUUGUACAGAAUUUUUCUCGACUUGAAAAUUUUGCAAAUGUGCUUUGGUGUACUUCCUUAUUUAAAUGCUUGUUUUUAACUUCUUUGGCAUAUCAUGAGCUAGAAGUCAAUAGCUAUUGUAUAUGUACACAUAUAUAUAAAGAUGCAUAUAUACACACACUUUUAAGAAAAAGCAAAUGAACAGAGAUCUCUCUCAUUCUCUCUCUCUCUCUUUCUCCCUCUCUCUCUCUCCACUUUCAGAUAAAUGCCAGUCAUUUGGCCAGGGCUGUACUCACAGAAGGUACAGCAGGCACAGAUGGUACUAAUGCAUAAAUGUAAUCUAGCAAAAGAAUGCCAACGCCAACCCAGAAAAGGUUCCAAAUAACUGCAGUGCACUUGCAGGAAGUCUGUGAUUGGCAAGGUUAAAGCUGCAACUGUGAGAGCUCACUAUUUGUUCCCAGAUCAACAAUCGAUAUUCUUGAGCAAAUGAGCAUGUUUAAUUUGUUUUAUUUACCAUAAGUGUAUUAAUUCAGACGGUGUUUAGAUAAGUGAUACAUCCUUAGAAAUAACACUCAAUGAAGAUAACCUAAUUGCUGCAACUGUCUGAACACACUCACAAAUUCAUGCGCAUCUGAGUAUCUGCAGACUCUUUCCCACCCAUUCUCUAUUUCCUUACCUCGUUUUGUUUCCUUUUUGCUUGGUAAAAUGGUAUGUUAUCAUAACACUAUGCAACAACAUAAAAAUAAUAAUGACACAACUUUAAAGCAGGAUGGACAUUAGUAUUUACACAGCAUGACUGCAACUAUAUUUUAAAAACGCGUUCAGAGAAUUUCUCAGGUAAUACUUUCUUCCAUGGUUUCAGUUUGUGUGAUAUGCAUAACAAGAGACUUUCUUCUUUGUUCUGAAAUUUCUGCAAUGUUUCUUUAAUAAGUAUGUAUGUAUUUGUUUUGUAAUAACAAAAAGUUAAAAGAAAACGUACCACCUUCGUUAUCUACAUAUUUUUAUCCCAUCUUAUUGUGCACCUGCACACAACAAAAAUCAAUUCCUGGAAAAAGCUCGAUCGCCGUUACGGUUCUGAGUUUUCUCUCAGGUGUAAAGUGUGGUACGAGGAAAGCAUGUGCGAAAAAACGGAACAGAAGUUCUGGGACAAGGGCACGGUGAAUGGCCGUCCGAGCUUCUGAACGAGAAGAAAGCUGUGGCCCAACACGCAGGCGCUUUCUUCCGUCUUCAGAAACCGAGUCCACCGGGCGAGGGUCCCUUGAUGGGGAGCAAUGUCUCUUUUCCAGUUUACUGUCCUCAUUCACAAAGUGGGGACAACACCAGCGCGACCUCCAGGACUCGGCGGGAGAAGGACGCGCAGGCCCAGGAGGUUCGACGCCUGGCGCGGGACGAAGGCACACACAUGCCGAGGGUCGUGCGUUCCCACCCGUCCCGCUGCCCGACAGGCGAACCGACGAGAGCCUGGGGCCCAGGGCUGUGGCAAAAUAAAACUGUGAAGCAGAUUUGGGGGCAAGAAUAAAAGCUUUCAUCGGGCCAGGGCCAAAGCAAAGACGGAUCACGGAGGAGACCCCCGUCGUCUCCGCGAGGCCUCGGCUGAGCGCCGAGGACGGCCUCGCGCCACCCCACCGGGACGGCACCUCGGCGGGGCUGGCCACCGCUGGGGACAGGCCGGCGUGCGACGUGUGCUCCUAAAGCUGAAGCACGGGC